GAUGAACGCUGGCGGCGUGCCUAAUACAUGCAAGUCGAGCGAACGGACGAGAAGCUUGCUUCUCUGAUGUUAGCGGCGGACGGGUGAGUAACACGUGGAUAACCUACCUAUAAGACUGGGAUAACUUCGGGAAACCGGAGCUAAUACCGGAUAAUAUUUUGAACCGCAUGGUUCAAAAGUGAAAGACGGUCUUGCUGUCACUUAUAGAUGGAUCCGCGCUGCAUUAGCUAGUUGGUAAGGUAACGGCUUACCAAGGCAACGAUGCAUAGCCGACCUGAGAGGGUGAUCGGCCACACUGGAACUGAGACACGGUCCAGACUCCUACGGGAGGCAGCAGUAGGGAAUCUUCCGCAAUGGGCGAAAGCCUGACGGAGCAACGCCGCGUGAGUGAUGAAGGUCUUCGGAUCGUAAAACUCUGUUAUUAGGGAAGAACAAAUGUGUAAGUAACUGUGCACGUCUUGACGGUACCUAAUCCGAAAGCCACGGCUAACUACGUG
This 497-nucleotide ribosomal RNA is filed under the name uncultured bacterium. Its description in RNAcentral is "partial 16S ribosomal RNA". It matches the Rfam family "Bacterial small subunit ribosomal RNA", at positions 28 to 507 of the family's 1533-position model. The record is from RNAcentral.